This 95-nucleotide transfer RNA is filed under the name Caenorhabditis elegans. Its description in RNAcentral is "Unclassified non-coding RNA F59C12.11". The record is from RNAcentral. Lineage: Eukaryota; Metazoa; Nematoda; Chromadorea; Rhabditida; Rhabditidae.
CAAAACUAGGUCCUGGCCGGGUUCGAACCGGCGACCUUCUGCGUGUGAAGCAGACGUGAUAACCACUACACCACAGGACCGCAUGUCGAAGAGAG